This 1439-nucleotide ribosomal RNA is filed under the name uncultured bacterium. RNAcentral describes it as "bacterial SSU rRNA". It matches the Rfam family "Bacterial small subunit ribosomal RNA". The record is from RNAcentral.
AGGGUUUGAUCAUGGCUCAGUACGUACGCUGGCGGCACGCCUAACACAUGCAAGUCGAACGAAGUAGCAAUACUUAGUGGCAGACGGGUGAGUAACAUGUAGGUAUCUGCCCUUUGGCCUGGAAUAACACGAGGAAACUUGUGCUAAUACCGGAUAAGUCUUUACGGAGAAAGCUUUAUGCACCAUUGGAUGAGCCUGCACUUGAUUAGUUUGUUGGUGGGGUAAUGGCCUACCAAGACUGUGAUCAAUAGCUGAUUUGAGAGGAUGAUCAGCCACAUUGGGACUGAGACACGGCCCAAACUCCUACGGGAGGCAGCAGUGGGGAAUCUUGCACAAUGGAGGAAACUCUGAUGCAGCGAUGCCGCGUGAGUGAAGAAGGCCCUUGGGUUGUAAAGCUCUUUCGUCGGGGAAGAAAAUGACUGUACCCGAAUAAGAAGGUCCGGCUAACUUCGUGCCAGCAGCCGCGGUAAUACGAAGGGACCUAGCGUAGUUCGGAAUUACUGGGCUUAAAGAGUUCGUAGGUGGUUGAAAAAGUUGGUGGUGAAAUCCCAGAGCUUAACUCUGGAACUGCCAUCAAAACUUUUCAGCUAGAGUAUGAUAGAGGAAAGCAGAAUUUCUAGUGUAGAGGUGAAAUUCGUAGAUAUUAGAAAGAAUACCAAUUGCGAAGGCAGCUUUCUGGAUCAUUACUGACACUGAGGAACGAAAGCAUGGGUAGCGAAGAGGAUUAGAUACCCUCGUAGUCCAUGCCGUAAACGAUGUGUGUUAGACGUUGGAAAUUUAUUUUCAGUGUCGCAGCGAAAGCGAUAAACACACCGCCUGGGGAGUACGACCGCAAGGUUAAAACUCAAAUGAAUUGACGGGGACCCGCACAAGUAGUGGAGCAUGUGGUUUAAUUCGAAGAUACGCGCAGAACCUUACCAACACUUGACAUGUUCGUCGCGACUUUAAGAGAUUAGAGUUUUCGGUUCGGCCGGACGAAACACAGGUGCUGCAUGGCUGUCGUCAGCUCGUGUCGUGAGAUGUUGGGUUAAGUCCCGCAACGAGCGCAACCCUCACUUUUAGUUGCCAUCAUUAAGUUGGGCACUCUGAAAGAACUGCCAGUGAUAAGCUGGAGGAAGGUGGGGAUGACGUCAAGUCCUCAUGGCCCUUACGUGUUGGGCUACACACGUGCUACAAUGGUAUCUACAACAGGAAGCAAAACCGCGAGGUUAAGCAAAUCCUUAAAAGAUACCUCAGUUCGGAUUGCACUCUGCAACUCGAGUGCAUGAAGCUGGAAUUACUAGUAAUCGUGGAUCAGCGUGCCACGGUGAAUGCGUUCCCGGGUCUUGUACACACCGCCCGUCACACCAUGGGAGUUGGUUCUACCUUAAGGCAAGGUUUAAAACCCUUGACCACGGUAUAGUCAGCGACUGGGGUGAAGUCAUAACAAGGUAACCGUA